AAUAUUGCGCAAUGGAGGAAACUCUGACGCAGCGACGCCGCGUGAGCGAUGAAGGUCUUCGGAUCGUAAAGCUCUGUCCUUGGGGAAGAAGAUCGACAGAUUUGACGGUACCCGAGAAGGACGCCCCGGCUAACUACGUGCCAGCAGCCGCGGUAAUACGUAGGGGGCAAGCGUUGGCCGGAAUUAUUGGGCGUAAAGGGUGCGUAGGCGGCCUUUUAAGUCAGAUGUGAAAGCCCACGGCUUAACCGUGGGACUGCAUUUGAAACUGGAGGGCUUGAGUAUCGGAGAGGGUAGUGGAAUUCCCAGUGUAGCGGUGGAAUGCGUAGAUAUUGGGAGGAACACCAGUGGCGAAGGCGACUACCUGGACGAAAACUGACGCUGAGGCGCGAAAGCUAGGGGAGCAAAC
Molecule: ribosomal RNA, 406 nt
Filed under: uncultured bacterium
Lineage: Bacteria
Description: partial 16S ribosomal RNA
Rfam family: Bacterial small subunit ribosomal RNA
Source: RNAcentral